CUACGGAGGGUGCGAGCGUUAAUCGGAAUUACUGGGCGUAAAGGGUGCGUAGGCGGCCUGAUAAGUCGGAUGUGAAAGCCCCGGGCUUAACCUGGGAAUUGCAUUCGAUACUGUCAGGCUAGAGUAUGUCAGAGGUUGGCGGAAUUCCUGGUGUAGCGGUGAAAUGCGUAGACAUCAGGAGGAACACCAGUGGCGAAGGCGGCUAACUGGGGCAAUACUGACGCUGAGGCACGAAAGCGUGGGGAGCAAACAGGAUUAGAUACCCUUGUAGUCC
RNAcentral lists this ribosomal RNA (274 nucleotides) under uncultured bacterium. Its description in RNAcentral is "partial 16S ribosomal RNA". It matches the Rfam family "Bacterial small subunit ribosomal RNA", at positions 523 to 796 of the family's 1533-position model. The record is from RNAcentral.